UCGAGCGGUAGAGAGGUGCUUGCACCUCUUGAGAGCGGCGGACGGGUGAGUAAUGCCUAGGAAUCUGCCUGGUAGUGGGGGAUAACGCUCGGAAACGGACGCUAAUACCGCAUACGUCCUACGGGAGAAAGCAGGGGACCUUCGGGCCUUGCGCUAUCAGAUGAGCCUAGGUCGGAUUAGCUAGUUGGUGGGGUAAUGGCUCACCAAGGCGACGAUCCGUAACUGGUCUGAGAGGAUGAUCAGUCACACUGGAACUGAGACACGGUCCAGACUCCUACGGGAGGCAGCAGUGGGGAAUAUUGGACAAUGGGCGAAAGCCUGAUCCAGCCAUGCCGCGUGUGUGAAGAAGGUCUUCGGAUUGUAAAGCACUUUAAGUUGGGAGGAAGGGCAUUAACCUAAUACGUUGGUGUCUUGACGUUACCGACAGAAUAAGCACCGGCUAACUCUGUGCCAGCAGCCGCGGUAAUACAGAGGGUGCAAGCGUUAAUCGGAAUUACUGGGCGUAAAGCGCGCGUAGGUGGUUCGUUAAGUUGGAUGUGAAAUCCCCGGGCUCAACCUGGGAACUGCAUUCAAAACUGUCGAGCUAGAGUAUGGUAGAGGG
Molecule: ribosomal RNA, 601 nt
Filed under: Pseudomonas sp.
Lineage: Bacteria; Pseudomonadati; Pseudomonadota; Gammaproteobacteria; Pseudomonadales; Pseudomonadaceae
Description: bacterial SSU rRNA
Rfam family: Bacterial small subunit ribosomal RNA
Source: RNAcentral